RNAcentral lists this ribosomal RNA (403 nucleotides) under uncultured bacterium. RNAcentral describes it as "bacterial SSU rRNA". It matches the Rfam family "Bacterial small subunit ribosomal RNA", at positions 354 to 774 of the family's 1533-position model. The record is from RNAcentral.
GUGGGGAAUCUUGCACAAUGGGGGCAACCCUGAUGCAGCGACGCCGCGUGAGCGAUGAAGCCCUUCGGGGCGUAAAGCUCUUUCGACCGGAACGAUAAUGACGGUACCGGGAGAAGAAGCUGCGGCUAACUACGUGCCAGCAGCCGCGGUAAUACGUAGGCAGCAAGCGUUGUUCGGAGUUACUGGGCGUAAAGAGUGCGUAGGCGGUUUUCUAAGUUCGGUGUGAAAUCUCCCGGCUUAGCUGGGAGGGUGCGCCGAAGACUGGGAAGCUGGAGUGUGGGAAAGGCAGGCGGAAUUCCUGGUGUAGCGGUGAAAUGCGUAGAUAUCAGGAGGAACACCGGCGGUGUAGACGGCUUGCUAGACCAUAACUGACGCUGAGGCACGAAAGCGUGGGUAGCAAACA